This is a long non-coding RNA of Haemorhous mexicanus (house finch), 681 nucleotides long. RefSeq lists it as uncharacterized. The record is from RefSeq and is a predicted model, not a curated record. NCBI's taxonomy places the organism in Eukaryota, Metazoa, Chordata, Aves, Passeriformes, Fringillidae. The transcript is spliced from 2 exons.
UAACUAAAACAAAGCUACCAAAGUCAGUUACAUGGUAAAACAAAGCUACAGACUGAAAGUUACAAACUUUAUACAAAAUCAAGUGAGUAAAGCUAAACUAGAAAAGGAAAGUUACAAAGUUUAGGCAAACUACAAAAAUGAGUAAAAACAAACUACCUAAACAGGCAAAACUAAAACAUUCUUUGUUUUAAUCCUUCCAGGAGAGUUCUCCUUCAGCCAAGCCACAGGCAGCAGCUGGCACCGGCCCGCUCUGCGGAGCCGGCGAGAGCUCGGGCUCCACCUGGGAGAAGCGGCCUGCAGGCAGGAAGGCAAGUGAUGGCCGCACCCCGCACUGCGGUGGGGACAGCCAAAGGGCCGGCAAACGGGGAGAAAACGAGCCAGCCUGCAGUGCCGGAGCUGCAGGGAUCGAAGUCCCCAGCCCGGCAGCCAGGAGCAGCUGUGGCAGCAGGGCUCCAGUGCAGGCCCGGCCCGGGGACACCCACACCUGACUCUGGGCUUCCACAGCACGGGGAAAGAGCAUUUGCUAGCAAGGAAUGCUGGAGGAGCCUUGAGAAGAGAAGCUUUGGGGUGACCUCAUUGUGACCUUCCAGUACCUGAAGAUAUCCUACAGGAUAAAUGAAGAGAGACUAUUUACAAGAACCUGGAGUGGACAAGGGAGAAUGGCUUCAAACUGACAUAGAG